UCUCUAUCUUCAUUAUUUUUCUUAUUUUUCUUAUUUCCCAUGCUGUUAACUUUCUUUCUCUAUUCCGUUCAUCAUCAAUUCUUCACCAUCAUCAUCAAUCGCCCAAUUCAACACUUAUUCUCAGAAUCUUCAUCUUAGGCUGGCUUCCAAAUAUGAAUGAUAUUUUCUACAUUCAUGGUAGUUUGCUGAGAAGAUUUCAUCUAUUUAUCUAAUCUUCAUCGAAUUCGGCAACACCUUGAAUGUGGCAGCAUUGAUGUUCCAAUCGCAGCUUUAUGAAUUAGGUGGAUGAACUGUUAUUUCCGUAUUAGACGAUGCCACUGCCGUGUGAGUAUCUCCCAACAAAUUUGUUUAAAUUUCAAAAUGAUCCUUUAAAUUGAAAAUCUUCGUUCACGUAUGUGAUAUUUUGAACUCUCCACCGAUGCAAAGUGAGUCUGAAGAAUUACUGAAGUGUCCACGAAAAUAGAACCAGUGCAGGAGAAAAAAUAAAGAGCUUAGCACAAAUAGGAUUUUUGAAGUUAUUUAGUGGUUGCCUUAUCGCAUUUGAAGGUUUGCAGGUUAUUUCUUUGUUUACCCUUUGAAUCUCUUUGAUAUUGCUGAAUAAUAACUGUAGUCUCUUAGAUAGAUCUACUCAAUAGAUAAAACUUGGACAAAGUAAAGUAUAUGCAAAAUCAGAACUCUACCAAAUCCACCAACUUCCAAUAGCCCCUUUUCCAUGAAACCCUUUGUAGCAAAGUAUAGAUCUUUGAACUUAAAUCUAUGAGGGCCAUAUUCAUGUUCCCAAUCUUCAAGAAUCUCAGCAAACAUCUUCCGUUUGAUAUAAUAUAUAACCCUAAAGUUAUCAUGAAUAGCGAACUAAGCAAAAUCAAAGGCAACCCAACAGUUAAAAAUUUAGACUUUUUUUUUUCUCAUCAAAUAUACUUAGCUCAGGAGCAAAUAUUCUUGGCUCAGGAAGUUCAGAGAUUUCAAGGUUUUGAGCUUGGCUAUUAACCUUAAAACUCCAACCAAGAAUAUAAUGAGAAGCUACAAUUAACCCUGUUGAAGAUGAGAAUCCAACAUACAUUCUAUUGUUGAGUAUUGGAGAAAGAUCUUUGGUCAAUGAUAACAAAGGUUGUGUUGGUUUAUCACUAAAACCAACACUAAUUGGAGCUAAAGUAACAUCAUAAUAUCCAUACCUGCAUAUCCACUGGAAAGGGAUAAAUUCCUGAAUCCAUAAUCAUCAUAAUAUCCUGCAGGAGUUGAAUUAGCUGAUUUCAAAUCAUUGAUAUCAAUACCAAUAUGGUUAUCAUUGAUUUCAUCAAACUCAAAAUUUUGAUCAGUGUCAAGCUCAAUACCAAAAACAUGGCUGCUACUGUUUCCAUUGUUGGAAUUGUUAGAGACCAAGGUAUUAAUAUUGUAGUGAAUUUGGUAGCCCUUUUGUAGGUGAAAUAACAAAAACAAUUCCAUGGCCACUAUGAGUUGGAUAUUAAGAUUUUAUAGCAAAUAAAGAAUUAGUUGAGAAAGAAGACACACUUUCACUGAGUGUUUUUGAAAACUAUAGGAUUUGGAUAGAAAGCAUUGCCAUCAAGAUAUAAAUGUGAUGAUUGGAAUCCACUUUAUUUAUAGAUAAAGCAACAUGAACACAAGUCUGAGGAACAUGAUUAUAGUUUGAGAAUGAAUCAUGCUUCUGUAGUUCUGUUCGAGUGUUCGGUGUUUAUUAUUUAUAAGAUUUUGUGCUAAGUGAAGGAAAAAUUGCAUGUCUAAUUCGGGUCCUACUAAGAAAUUUCCUAGAACCUAGCUACGAAUUAUUACUAAAAGAAACAUCACAUGGUUACUAAAAUUGCCUUAUCAUCUGGGUCCUACUAAGAAAUGUCUCAUUUAGUUUAGUGAAGAGAAUGUGUUAUACAUUUGAAUCACAAUUUUUUUUUAUUUUUUUUCCAACAGUAGUAGUGGGUGAAUGUUUUUUUAACAUUUACAUAUUAAGUGUUUGAUGCUAAAUUGAAUAUGUGAAAUUUAAUUAUCAAUGUGUUCUAAUUUCUUAGAAUAAGUAGUGUUUUUUUUUAAUCCUGAAUGUGUGGACUUGACCAGUUACUAUUGAUUAUUGAUUAUGCUUCAAAUCAAAUGAUGAAUGAAUAUGUGGUGGAAAGAUAAAAAGAUAUAUGUUGGUUUGACUCAAUUUCAUACUCACUCCGUCUCUAAAUAUAAGACUCCUCUACAAAUUACUAAAUACAUUUAUUGCUCUUUUUUUUCCAAUAUACUAUCAAUUUAUCUAAGAAUAUGAAAAUUAACUUUGAAUGCACUUUUAUAAAAAGGGUAAUUUAGAAAUAGUAACACACAUUUCAGACAAAUUUAUUACUCGAAAGACUUUUUUUAGUACCCGUGAUUUUUGUAAAGUGUUCUUCUAAAAAAGGAUGGAGGGAAAAUUUUUCUUCAUGCAAAAAUCAUGGUGAAAUUUCGAGCCACAUGUUCCAUCGGUCACAUGUGUUGGCAAAUUGCAGGGAGAUGGAGGCAAAUCACCGGGUAAUUUACUCGUGAUUGACAGCUAUAAAAUACAAUUUUAGACCUGGUUGUUUUGCAAUCUUUCUACUCUAAAGGAGUUAAGGAACUAAUAGGGUGAGGGUUGAGUGUUUUGCAUGAUAUUCUUAUGUUGGAAAACAUCAUGAGAUCUCAUUAGAGUAAAUAUCAAACUCUUUUUCUAGUUUUCUCCUUAGAUCUCAAUUUAGGUUUUAGUGACUUGAAAAAUGGAUAGAAAUUAGAGAUUGUUCUUAUUGUCUACAAGAAUGGUAAAGGUAUUCUUUACCUAGGGCUUUGGUCAAUUUACUCUCAAAUUGUUUCAAACAAACUAAUUUGGCUGAAAUUUUUUUAA
Molecule: long non-coding RNA, 2842 nt
Organism: Medicago truncatula (barrel medic)
Lineage: Eukaryota; Viridiplantae; Streptophyta; Magnoliopsida; Fabales; Fabaceae
Exons: 3
Source: RefSeq, a predicted model, not a curated record